Molecule: ribosomal RNA, 135 nt
Filed under: uncultured bacterium
Lineage: Bacteria
Description: partial 16S ribosomal RNA
Rfam family: Bacterial small subunit ribosomal RNA
Source: RNAcentral
UUAGGAAUAUUGGACAAUGGGCGCAAGCCUGAUCCAGCCAUGCCGCGUGAACGAUGAAGGCCUUCGGGUUGUAAAGUUCUUUAGCCGAUGAUUAUAAUGACUGUAGUCGGAAAAUAAGCCCCGGCUAACUUCGUG